RNAcentral lists this ribosomal RNA (616 nucleotides) under Chrysosporium keratinophilum. Its description in RNAcentral is "LSU rRNA". It matches the Rfam family "Eukaryotic large subunit ribosomal RNA", at positions 38 to 667 of the family's 3401-position model. The record is from RNAcentral. Lineage: Eukaryota; Fungi; Ascomycota; Eurotiomycetes; Onygenales; Onygenaceae.
GCAUAUCAAUAAGCGGAGGAAAAGAAACCAACAGGGAUUGCCUCAGUAACGGCGAGUGAAGCGGCAAAAGCUCAAAUUUGAAAUCUGGCACCGUUAGGUGUCCGAGUUGUAAUUUGGAGAGGAUACUUCGGGUGUGGCUACGGCGUAAGUCCCUUGGAACAGGGCGUCAUAGAGGGUGAGAAUCCCGUCUUAAGUCGUUUGUCCACGCCCAUGCGAAGUUCCUUCGACGAGUCGAGUUGUUUGGGAAUGCAGCUCUAAGUGGGUGGUAAAUUUCAUCUAAAGCUAAAUAUUGGCCGGAGACCGAUAGCGAACAAGUAGAGUGAUCGAAAGGUUAAAAGCACCUUGAAAAGGGAGUUAAAUAGCACGUGAAAUUGUUGAAAGGGAAGCGCUUGCAACCAGACUCGGUCAUAGGGGCUCAGCAGGCAUGCGUGCCUGUGUACUCCCCUGUGUUCGGGCCAGCAUCAGUUCUGGCGGUUGGUUAAAGGCCCUUGGAAUGUAUCGUCCUCCGGGACGUCUUAUAGCCAAGGGUGUAAUGCAGCCAGCCGGGACUGAGGAACGCGCUUCGGCACGGAUGCUGGCGUAAUGGUUGUAAGCGACCCGUCUUGAAACACGGACC